Molecule: ribosomal RNA, 382 nt
Filed under: uncultured eukaryote
Lineage: Eukaryota
Description: partial 18S ribosomal RNA
Rfam family: Eukaryotic small subunit ribosomal RNA
Source: RNAcentral
CAAUAGCGUAUAUUAAAGUUGUUGCAGUUAAAAAGCUCGUAGUUGGAUUUCUGGUUGAAGCGACCGGUCGGGCGUUGAUUCGUCUGCACUGGAGUCGGUUUUGGCCAUCCUCUAGGAAAGUGCGUCUGGUAUUAAGUUAUCGUGCGUAUGAUCCUGGUCUUUUACUGUGAAAAAAUUAGAGUGUUUAAAGCAGGCCUUCGCCUUGAAUACAUUAGCAUGGAAUAAUAAGAUAGGACUUUGGUCUAUUUUGUUGGUUUGCAGACCGAAGUAAUGAUUAAUAGGGAUAGUUGGGGGUAUUUAUAUUCCGAUGUCAGAGGUGAAAUUCUUAGAUUUUCGGAAGAUAAACUUAUGCGAAAGCAUUUACCAAGGAUGUUUUCAUUAA